Long non-coding RNA from Macadamia integrifolia, 1515 nucleotides. RefSeq lists it as uncharacterized. The record is from RefSeq and is a predicted model, not a curated record. The transcript has 5 exons. NCBI's taxonomy places the organism in Eukaryota, Viridiplantae, Streptophyta, Magnoliopsida, Proteales, Proteaceae.
UAAAAUGGCUAGAGACUAGAGAUCGACUUCUCAGUUAUUGAUAAGGAGGGCGGCUGGAUAUGCUAUAGAAAGGGAAGACUAGAGAUCGACGUCCUAAACUUUGUUUGAGAGAUUGAGAGCCUCUUCUCCAAUCUCCACAACAUGAAUCCUUUCUGCUUAGUUUCUUAACCCCUUUAUCCCUUUCUACUUCUCCCAAAUUCCUACCCUUUCCUAGAGCGUUCUUCCUCUCCCUUCCUUUUUGGUUCUGAAAGGAUCUCCUGCAUACUCCCUUGGAUCAGUAGGUGAAUCCCUAUGAUCUCUGUUGCAGGCACUAUGGUUUUGAGGGUGAUCUCCACCUCCUUUCUGCAACUGCUACGAUUCUCCACCAUGGCCGAUUAGUUAUAGCAUCUGCUCACAGCAUCACCAACAGAAGCUUAUUUAAUCUCUGCUAUCAUCAAUUUGACAGAAAAUCGUUUGAAUUGGGAAUGUGAUCCAACUACAAUUGGGAUUUUCGAUUUUCUCCUCUGCGAUGGUCUUCUCUGCAUCUUCUCCCUAGAGGACUGGCUUUGCCUUCAAAAGCGCAUAACGAAGCAUCUCCAAUAGGCUUUGUGUCUCUGCUAUCGAAACCGUCGACUUUUGUUCGUUGAACACACUGGAGGAAUGCACGGUAGUCCAACUACUGCUCUAAGCCCAGAGAAAUAACUCGGACAAACAAAGAAGCAUUUGGAAGGGCAACAAGUGGAGACAAACCAACGAAGGUGAGGAUUUCAUUCUUUAUGUCAAAAUUUGUUUUUCUUUUCUUCGAAUUGAAAUAAAACUGAUGAAUCUGUAAGCCACAUUCAAUCUCAGUAGAUUUCAAAAACUAAUGAAUUUUCAGUUGAGAACAUGCAUUGCAUGUAAGAUUUUCUAUUAGGUGGGCUAGCAUAGUCAAAGAUUUGUUUUCAAAAUCGGUUUAGUGGUGUUGAUUAAAGAUGGAGUAAGCAGAAAGAAUCCAAUAUUAUUGGGUUGGUCUCUACCCUCAUCCCUAUAUAUAGUUAUUAUUGACCCAUUAAGUGAGGCUAACGACAAAAAACAAAAGGGAAAGAAAGUAGACCAGACCAACAUUGAUUGUGUUGUACGAGGAGCAUACAAGAAGACAUUGAGGAGUUCUUAUUCUUCAGCCAUGGAUUCAGGUACCUGAGAUUUUAGUGGUUACUAUGAGUCAUCACUAUAGAGGAUGCACUCUUCUUUCGUCAGUCAUAAUGCCUUUUCAUUUUAACAAGGAAGUACCACAAAGGUUCAAAUAUAAUUAAUGAAGAAUGUGAUAAAAACCUUUUCAAAGUUCUCCAACAACAAAGCUUGGGAAGCUUGGACUUGGAAAAGAUAUGAGCAACAAAGAGCACUAAAUUAGUAGUUUAGUAGUUAUUUCGUUUUUCUUAACAUACAACAUGAAUUGUUGAGGGAGUUGAGUUUUCUAAGAUAAGAUUUUUGAUGUAUCAAAUAUUAUGAUUCAGAUGAUCAAUGUAAUUUUUAUUUUAGAUUCAUUUUGAAUUUUAA